RNAcentral lists this ribosomal RNA (326 nucleotides) under uncultured eukaryote. Its description in RNAcentral is "partial 18S ribosomal RNA". It matches the Rfam family "Eukaryotic small subunit ribosomal RNA", at positions 1470 to 1796 of the family's 1831-position model. The record is from RNAcentral.
CCCUUAGAUGUUCUGGGCCGCACGCGCGCUACACUGACGAAUGCAACGAGCUUAUAACCUUGGCCGAAAGGUCUGGGUAAUCUCCAAAUUUCGUCGUGAUGGGGAUAGAUUAUUGCAAUUAUUAAUCUUCAACGAGGAAUGCCUAGUAAGCGCAAGUCAUCAGCUUGCGUUGAUUACGUCCCUGCCCUUUGUACACACCGCCCGUCGCUCCUACCGAUUGAAUGGUCCGGUGAAGCGUUCGGACCGUGGCCUUUGGACGGUUCGCCGUCUGUUGGCUGCGGGAGUUCGUUAAACCUUAUCAUUUAGAGGAAGGAGAAGUCGUAACA